CUCUUAUUCAGAGUGGUGGAGUCAUAAGGGACGAAGAAGCCACGGCAACCCCGGAGACGGAAGGUGCCGACCUGAGCGAUACUUAGAUUAAGUUGUCGAGCAAUAAGAA
This 109-nucleotide non-coding RNA is filed under the name Clostridium sp. RNAcentral describes it as "SAM-I sequence". It matches the Rfam family "SAM riboswitch aptamer (S box leader)". Rfam says of the family: The SAM riboswitch is found upstream of a number of genes which code for proteins involved in methionine or cysteine biosynthesis in Gram-positive bacteria. The record is from RNAcentral. Lineage: Bacteria; Bacillati; Bacillota; Clostridia; Eubacteriales; Clostridiaceae.